Long non-coding RNA from Hipposideros armiger (great roundleaf bat), 920 nucleotides. RefSeq lists it as uncharacterized. The record is from RefSeq and is a predicted model, not a curated record. The transcript has 4 exons. NCBI's taxonomy places the organism in Eukaryota, Metazoa, Chordata, Mammalia, Chiroptera, Hipposideridae.
CGGUCAAUAGUUCGGACAGAAGAAUCAUCCUGGUCAGCUCCAAAAUAUGGCUACUUGCAUGGUAAUCACGGCAAGUCUGUCAAAGCAGGUCGGGCAGUUCCCAGCUUGACCUGGCAAAGCAGAAGAGAUGCACAAGAAAAGGCUAAAUGAAUCUUUCAGAAGCUGGAGAGGGGCCUGUCACUUACUAAUGCAGCCAAGGAGAGGAUGGAGGCACUUCAAACUCCACAUGGCCCAAACCAACCUCAUCAUCUCCUCCACAAACGUGGCCCUCUCGCCCGUCUCCGCGGCAGCGGUGGCCCAGCGCUCACUGCCUGCCAGGCCACAGGGGAGGCGCGUCUCUGGCUCUCCCUGUGCCCGCUCCUAGACUGCCACACCUACUGUGUCACCGCAUCCUGUGAAUUUUGCCCGGAUGCACUGGUGUUCAGACAUGCAGACCUCGUUACGUCCUUUCUAUGCCUGAAACCCUUCUACGUGGGCCCCACUGGCAUCAACCACGGGAUAAAAUUCAAGUUCCUUAAUGGACAGAAAGGACAUAUACGGCCCUCACGGUUGGGCCACCCAUCCCCACACCACGCUGCUGCUCACCUGGGCUCAUGCUCUGCCCUUUACCUGCCUGUUCCCUUCUAAAAAUCUCACUGUAGCUAACUGCUCAUCCUUUGAGAAGCAUUGCAUGUGUCACUUCCUCCAGGAAGCCUUCCUUUCCGUGCUGCCAUGGACAGAUCCGGAUCUUUACAGGUCGCAGGUUGUAAUUAUUUGUUUCUCUGUCUGUCUUCCCCAUUAGAUGAGUUCUUUAAGGCUUGGAAUUGUGACUUAUUUCUGAAUUAGUGCCUGGCACAUUAAUAUAUUUUUGUUGAAUGAAUAAAUAACUAUCUUUAAUCCUUUAUAUAGCUAUAUUCCUGGGGCUUGGUACAGCUGGGAUA